AUUGAACGCUGGCGGCAUGCCUUACACAUGCAAGUCGAACGGCAGCACGGGUGCUUGCACCUGGUGGCGAGUGGCGAACGGGUGAGUAAUACAUCGGAACAUGUCCUGUAGUGGGGGAUAGCCCGGCGAAAGCCGGAUUAAUACCGCAUACGAUCUACGGAUGAAAGCGGGGGACCUUCGGGCCUCGCGCUAUAGGGUUGGCCGAUGGCUGAUUAGCUAGUUGGUGGGGUAAAGGCCUACCAAGGCGACGAUCAGUAGCUGGUCUGAGAGGACGACCAGCCACACUGGGACUGAGACACGGCCCAGACUCCUAAGGGAGGCAGCAGUGGGGAAUGUUGGACAAUGGGCGAAAGCCUGAUCCAGCAAUGCCGCGUGUGUGAAGAAGGCCUUCGGGUUGUAAAGCACUUUUGUCCGGAAAGAAAUCCUUGGCCCUAAUACGGUCGGGGGAUGACGGUACCGGAAGAAUAAGCACCGGCUAACUACGCG
This 486-nucleotide ribosomal RNA is filed under the name uncultured bacterium. RNAcentral's name for it is "partial 16S ribosomal RNA". It matches the Rfam family "Bacterial small subunit ribosomal RNA", at positions 30 to 507 of the family's 1533-position model. The record is from RNAcentral.